GAUGAACGCUGGCGGCGUGCCUAAUACAUGCAAGUCGAGCGAACGGACGAGAAGCUUGCUUUUCUGAUGUUAGCGGCGGACGGGUGAGUAACACGUGGAUAACCUACCUAUAAGACUGGGAUAACUUCGGGAAACCGGAGCUAAUACCGGAUAAUAUUUUGAACCGCAUGGUUCAAAAGUGAAAGACGGUCUUGCUGUCACUUAUAGAUGGAGCCGCGCUGCAUUAGCUAGUUGGUAAGGUAACGGCUUACCAAGGCAACGAUGCAUAGCCGACCUGAGAGGGUGAUCGGCCACACUGGAACUGAGACACGGUCCCGACUCCGACGGGAGGGAGCAGUAGGGAAUCUUACGCAAUGGGCGAAAGCCUGACGGAGCAACGCCGCGUGAGUGAUGAAGGUCUUCGGCUCGUAAAACUCUGUUAUUAGGGAAGAACAUAUGUGUACGUAACUGUGCACAUCUUGACGGUACCUAAUCAGAAAGCCACGGCUAACUACGUG
This 497-nucleotide ribosomal RNA is filed under the name uncultured bacterium. Its description in RNAcentral is "partial 16S ribosomal RNA". It matches the Rfam family "Bacterial small subunit ribosomal RNA", at positions 28 to 507 of the family's 1533-position model. The record is from RNAcentral.